AUGAAAAUUUCUAAAAUAAAAAUCUCUUUAGAAAAAAAAACAUCUCUCUCAGGCAUUUCCCCAAACACAUUGUGAGCAAGACUCAAACUUCCUCCACAUUGGAAUCCAGCUUCAAAAUCUCCCCAUGUAAUGCUUCACCAUCUGUCAGAUCUUCAUAUGACUGAAACACCUGGAAAAAAAGAGUGAAGGAUAAGCUCAGAAGAAUAAAUCCCCUUGUAAGUCAUCGAUGAGAAUAUGAGCAUAGAUUUGCUUUAGUAAUAUGAAUCUUUGACAGUUCCUCCAACCAAAGUAAUUUUUUAAAAAUUAUAUUUUCCCCAAUGUCUCUUAUUUCCUAUCAAAAUUAGUUUGAAUGACUUAUUUAUAAAGUCUCAAAACUGAAAUUAAUAA
This 387-nucleotide long non-coding RNA is filed under the name Eutrema salsugineum. RNAcentral describes it as "long non-coding RNA (ESAL_LNC000780)". Lineage: Eukaryota; Viridiplantae; Streptophyta; Magnoliopsida; Brassicales; Brassicaceae. The record is from RNAcentral.